GUGAACGCCCUCACGGGCUUAUACUAUUCCAAACCUCUGUGAACCGUGCCUUCGGGGCUAUUUUACAAACAUGGUGUAAUGAACGUCAUAUAUCAUAACAAAACA
RNAcentral lists this unclassified non-coding RNA (105 nucleotides) under soil metagenome. RNAcentral describes it as "partial internal transcribed spacer 1". The record is from RNAcentral.